CAUUAAGAAGCUUUUUAUAGCACUAGCCUUUUAAGCUAGAGAAGGGGAAUUAAAAUCCUCCUUAGUGGA
Molecule: transfer RNA, 69 nt
Filed under: Brachymeles tridactylus
Lineage: Eukaryota; Metazoa; Chordata; Lepidosauria; Squamata; Scincidae
Description: tRNA-Lys
Rfam family: tRNA
About the family: Transfer RNA (tRNA) molecules are approximately 80 nucleotides in length. Their secondary structure includes four short double-helical elements and three loops (D, anti-codon, and T loops).
Source: RNAcentral